CAUUCUAGGAACUGUAUUAUAGUUCACACGCCGCAAAUUGGGUUUAGAUGUCAGCAACAAUGCUAUCUGUAACAGUCAGUUCAUUUGUGCACUUGUUCCUUUUUAAAAUAGUGGUUUUCGCUUCAACUUCAAAAAGGUUAAACCCAAGAGCGCAGGUGUUCAGUCGACAUGCAUUUGGUUGUUGCACGUACAGUGUAUUCGAAGAAACACGCAGCUCUGUGCCGAAAGUGAUGAUGACUGCUGUUCCGGGAUUGCUGCUUUUUUGCCUUUUUGGAUAUUCUUUAGUGACAUCCGAUUUUGUGUGCCCAAGGAGGACAGCGUGUGACCCGUUGAGCUUCAAAAGUCAUCGCAUGUAUCUUAGCUGCAUAGCACCGUGCCCGAAUGCUACAGGGUUCGGAUACCUUGAAGAUGGCGCCUGGUGUUUCGUGUCCCUUGGUGAAACAGGCCGCGGCGGCAACCUUGGUGGAUGCAAACGUGGCGUCUGCGUACCCAAUCCCGAUGGACCAUUCAUAUGAUGUAGUCCCAGGAUCAUACUGAAUAAAACUUUCGCCGU
This is a long non-coding RNA of Ornithodoros turicata, 553 nucleotides long. RefSeq lists it as uncharacterized. The transcript has 4 exons. The record is from RefSeq and is a predicted model, not a curated record. Lineage: Eukaryota; Metazoa; Arthropoda; Arachnida; Ixodida; Argasidae.